RNAcentral lists this unclassified non-coding RNA (190 nucleotides) under uncultured Ascobolus. Its description in RNAcentral is "sequence contains ITS1". Lineage: Eukaryota; Fungi; Ascomycota; Pezizomycetes; Pezizales; Ascobolaceae. The record is from RNAcentral.
AAAAAAUACGCAUGGUGAAAGUGUGAAAACACGGGAUCUAAUGCUGUAUAUAACCACCUGUUUACCUUUACCUGUUGCUUCCGUGGAAUUACGGGUGCUCUUCCUGUUCGCAGGCUUGAGUUACCUUCCACGGGUGUAUUUAAAAAAUUGUUUUGUACUAUUGUCUGAUAUAAAAUUUUAAUAAAAGUUA